AUUUUCUUUUUAAACUCUUUUAAAAAUUUCAAAUUUUUUAUUUUCUUAGAACAUUGCUUUGUGGUUUUUUAAGAAUGUCUUGCGUGUAUAUUUACUAGGCUUAUAUUCUACGAAUCCUUUUUCCAGUCUGUCCGUAUCAAAGAUGAACGCAAAUUAUAUAUUACAUAUCUACCUUCUUCCUGCCUAACUGAGCUGGCAGUAUGUAAAUUGCACUAUAGCCACCGAACAAACCUAUGUUAAUAUCUAUGGCUCGACUCUGGGAACGCCCGCAGUGAUGUCUUACGGUUGCACACCAGGGAAUACCGAAGUUGAAGGUCGGGGGCGGAGGAGAAGCUACGCAGCAGGAGCCGGCAGGACAUUUCAAUUUAAUUCAAAAUUCUGGCAAGCGAGACAGCAAAAUAUGGUUUAAUAUACCGAAUGACCUAGGAUUUUUCCUUUACAUGUUGGACCACCUCAAACAAAAAUAAAACAUGUACACAGACACAAUAAAUGCUAAAUGCUGAACGCGACACACACAUGUCUCAAAAGUGCUGUCAUGUACUCGACGAUGAGUUGGAAAACGGAAAAACGGAGUGGAAGAGCAACUUUGUUGACGCCGUUGACUUUAUACGUCAAUUUCAUCGUCGUCGUGAGGAGUUUUCGUUUCGUUUAUAGCAGUCAAGGGAAAAUGAGAGGAGGCACUGUGGCAGGGACCCGGGGUUUCGACUGCAAGCAAACGUCAACAGCAGGCGGAGGAGGCUGUUACUAGAAGGCUUUCACAUCGGCUGUCUUUCCUAGUCACCAGACCUGGCUCCUAUGUCAAGUUGUCGUUGCCGUCGACGUCGUUGUUGUGGCCAAGUCAACCGCAUCAUCAUCGUCAUCGCCGCCGUCAUCUGCCUUUAACUACAUUUUCGUUACACUGCUCACCUUGGCUAACUGUAUGUUUUCGCUAUUCUGCAAAUAUCCUGGAAUAUUGUUAUUUACCUAAUUAGUUAUUAAAACGUUUGAUGAGCGGUACCAAAAAAAAGGUACU
Molecule: long non-coding RNA, 1012 nt
Organism: Drosophila santomea
Lineage: Eukaryota; Metazoa; Arthropoda; Insecta; Diptera; Drosophilidae
Exons: 3
Source: RefSeq, a predicted model, not a curated record